GCUUAACCGGAGAAGUGCAUCGGAAACUGGGAGACUUGAGUGCAGAAGAGGACAGUGGAACUCCAUGUGUAGCGGUGGAAUGCGUAGAUAUAUGGAAGAACACCAGUGGCGAAGGCGGCUGUCUAGUCUGUAACUGACGCUGAGGCUCGAAAGCAUGGGUAGCGAACAGGAUUAGAUACCCUGGUAGUCCAUGCUGUAAACGAUGAGUGCUAAGUGUUGGAGGGUUUCCGCCCUUCAGUGCUGCAGCUAACGCAUUAAGCACUCCGCCUGGGGAGUACGACCGCAAGGUUGAAACUCAAAGGAAUUGACGGGGGCCCGCACAAGCGGUGGAGCAUGUGGUUUAAUUCGAAGCUACGCGAAGAACCUUACCAGGUCUUGACAUCUUCUGCCAAUCUUAGAGAUAAGACGUUCCCUUCGGGGACAGAAUGACAGGUGGUGCAUGGUUGUCGUCACCUCGUGUCGUGAGAUGUUGGGUUAAGUCCCGCAACGAGCGCAACCCUUAUUAUCAGUUGCCAGCAUUCAGUUGGGCACUCUGGUGAGACUGCCGGUGACAAACCGGAGGAAGGUGGGGAUGACGUCAAAUCAUCAUGCCCCUUAUGACGUGAGCUACACACGUGCUACAAUGGAACGUACAACG
This 637-nucleotide ribosomal RNA is filed under the name uncultured bacterium. RNAcentral's name for it is "bacterial SSU rRNA". It matches the Rfam family "Bacterial small subunit ribosomal RNA", at positions 607 to 1244 of the family's 1533-position model. The record is from RNAcentral.